RNAcentral lists this ribosomal RNA (433 nucleotides) under uncultured bacterium. RNAcentral's name for it is "partial 16S ribosomal RNA". It matches the Rfam family "Bacterial small subunit ribosomal RNA", at positions 29 to 507 of the family's 1533-position model. The record is from RNAcentral.
AACGAACGCUGGCGGCAUGCCUAACACAUGCAAGUCGAACGAGACCUUCGGGUCUAGUGGCGCACGGGUGCGUAACGCGUGGGAACCUGCCCUUAGGUUCGGAAUAACUCCCCGAAAGGGGUGCUAAUACCGGAUAAUGUCUUCGGACCAAAGAUUUAUCGCCUUUGGAUGGGCCCGCGUUGGAUUAGCUAGUUGGUAGGGUAAAAGCCUACCAAGGCGACGAUCCAUAGCUGGUAUGAGAGGAUGAUCAGCCACACUGGGACUGAGACACGGCCCAGACUCCUACGGGAGGGAGCAGUGGGGAAUAUUGGAAAAUGGGCGAAAGCCUGAUCCAGCAAUGCCGCGUGAGUGAUGAAGGCCUUAGGGUUGUAAAGCGCUUUUACCCGGGAUGAUAAUGACAGUACCGGGAGAAUAAGCUCCGGCUAACUCCGUG